RNAcentral lists this transfer RNA (86 nucleotides) under Coprobacter secundus subsp. similis. RNAcentral describes it as "tRNA-Ser". It matches the Rfam family "tRNA". From Rfam's summary of the family: Transfer RNA (tRNA) molecules are approximately 80 nucleotides in length. Their secondary structure includes four short double-helical elements and three loops (D, anti-codon, and T loops). The record is from RNAcentral. Lineage: Bacteria; Pseudomonadati; Bacteroidota; Bacteroidia; Bacteroidales; Barnesiellaceae.
GGAGAGGUGGCAGAGUGGUCGAUUGCGGCGGUCUUGAAAACCGUUGUACUGCAAGGUACCGGGGGUUCGAAUCCCUCCCUCUCCGC